Molecule: long non-coding RNA, 7515 nt
Filed under: Sorghum bicolor (sorghum)
Lineage: Eukaryota; Viridiplantae; Streptophyta; Magnoliopsida; Poales; Poaceae
Description: long non-coding RNA (SBIC_LNC014998)
Source: RNAcentral
CGUCCUGCUAACAAGAUAUGGGAUACAAAGGUAACUCAGAAAUGUCACGUUCCUUGCUACUACCACGGUCCAGCUAGUCAGGGGAUAUCUAUGAGUACCCUAGACUAAACACCACGUUUACGCUAGCAAUGAUUACUCUAAUACUCAACCGGAAGAGGAUUAAAGUAAACUCAUAAACCAAAGAACAAUAAAACAAGAACUUACUAGAAUUAGAAGUCGAAUUACUGAAGAAUCUUAGAAGCAAGCCUCGGGUUAGGAGACUUGAUCCCGUAGGUACAACUCGGAGUAGACACCGACAGGCCGGCCUUCCUCCAAUCUACACCUCCACUCUAUAUCUCUCAAUCUAGUAGAAACUAGAAGAUCUAUUUCUACCUUACAUUGGUUGCUAAGCCUAAAAAGAAAUAUUAUUUAGAGAAGAGGUUUUCCUUCGAGGGCACCCCUCAAUCUCUAUGAUAACUUCUUGUCUCCUCCAGGGGCCAGGGGGGUCUCCUUAUAUAGUCCUCCCCUUCUAUGCGUUUUUGGGUCGGUAGGCGAUGUGGUACUACGUUAUUCUGGAUCCAAUAGGUCGGUGGAGAUCUCCCGAGAAAAAGAGUCCUGAUUGGGCUCGGCAGGUGGGCGGGCGCCCAAGGAAACUGGGCGGGCGCCCAGGUCCUGGCCCCAUUUCGCCUCCGCUUCGGUCUCGUGGCUUCUGGAGUCUUCUAGAUGGUAGAAAAUUGCGCGGUGUGUUGAUAUCUCUAUGUAAUCCUGACAUGUGGGCCUUUCUUCCUUACUUCCUGAUAACCCCCUGCAGAAAUAGACAAACACCAAAACUCGUGCAAUUCUGUCAGAUAAAACCCUAAGUCUAGAUGUUGAUUUCAUUUGGAUCCUUUUCUUUGUUUAUUUGAUAAUUAAAUUUGAUACUUAAGGACCGUCAACAAACUCCCCCAAGCUUACCUCUUGCUCGUCCCUGAGCAAGGAUGAACUCAAGAGUUUCUGCAGUGGUUUCAUGCCUUAAAAGUACACAAGCAUUCAAGCAAGAUCUCAUCUCUGAGAAUAAACUGUUAAGACCUAAAACUUACUCAUUUUACCUUUCACCAUGGGGCUUGUAACCAUCACUUGUGUCUUGAGCAGUUAAAAGAUAGAACGGUCAAGUCAAGCGCCAUGUCUCUUACUCUUGAUCAGCUAUAGCUCUGGGGUUUUUUUGCAGAUUUUCAAAUAAAACUCAGAGAUUCCUUGUAUGACUCUCUCAAAUCUCUCUUUUGUGGUAUUUCUAGAUCCUUACCAAGGCAGUAAUGGUAUAUGCCUUCUCUCAAAAUAUGUGGUAUUUUUGGUAUAAUGCAUAGUGAUAUUACCUUCUCUCUCACCCUACUCUAAUAAGGUUUUGAUAUCUGGAGCUCAUAGGUGGGAGACAGCUAAUACAUACUUACAAGACAUUUAUUGUAUAGUCAAACCAUGGAUCCAGAGAACACAAGUCAAUAAGUCAAAUCAAGAUGUGCAUGUGUGGCGAAUGAAUGGUGUAUGGUGAUGAUGAUGAUAAUAAUGGUGAAAGUCUAAUUCUACUUUUGCUCUUUUGAGGGGAUACAUACCUUUCUUGCACUUUGAACCUUUUUUGGGGAGAAUGAGAUGCUCUAUAUUUUAUUUUUCUUUCCUCUCAGGUGGGUAUCUUGUACCCCUAAUUCUACUGUCGGACACUUGUCUAUUUUUACCUCUCGUCUCACUUUUUUCUUUUUCUUCGAUGUUCCGGGCACUUGCCCCUUUUUAUUUCCUCGUAUUAUUAUUAUUUUUUCUUUCUCUUCUUUUUUUGAGCACUCAUCUCCUGAAAUAAUGUAGCAAGUGGUAGUAACCAAAAUAACUAGAGCAUUUAUUUCACAGGGAUAGGAAAAUAUUUUAGCUAUUCUCUCCCGGAUUAGGAGUAGAAUACUUUUGGGUGAAUCUGGAGAUGGAAAUAAGUGGAUAUAUGUGGAUGGUACUUCCGGAGUAGAAGUAGCAUGUAUGAGUGAACGUGCAAGUGAAUCUUGAUUUUAACCACAUGACAAGCUCCUAAGGGUCUACACAGCUUGACCACACUCAAUGCUCGUAAGCAGUAAAAAGUAAAUAUGUGGCUCAAAGUCUAGCAAGCAUGUAUAUAUGGCUGUGGUAGGAUUUUAAACUCUCAUCAUACAGGAACUCAUCAUGUGUUAUUUUUAAAGAUUUUUCAAAGAUAAAAUUCUCCAGAAUUCUAGCAUCUCUAGGAACAGAUAAACAACAGCUCAACCUUCCCAUAUCAUAUCCGUUAACAACUUAGAUUUUAGAUCAAGUACUCUUCCCACAAGUUCCGGUUUAGAGCAAAUCUUAUUUCUAACAGUCAUGCCUAAACUUGAGAGAGAUUUUAAUUUUAAGAACUAAUCAUGGCAGAGCAACUAUUCAUCAUUUCCAUGUGAGAGCUUAUCAUGAGGGUUCAUAGCAAACUUUAUUUAUUUAUUUAUUUAGCAAACUAAGCAAAGAUAUAUAUAUAAAAGCACAAAAUCUUUAUUUGGGUUUUUAUGAUUAUGCAUCUUUUUAUUAUUUGAGUAAAGUAUAAACGCGAGUAGAAACACUUAGCUGGAUAAAUGGAGGUGCUCUCCCCGAAGCUGGAUUUUGACGUAAUUUCUUCUGAUGUAGCUAGCAGGUGGUGGAGGUGUAUUUGAAAGUUGGCAGCACCCUGACAGCGAUUAGGAUGUCCUCCAUCUGCUAGUCUUCUUUGAUCCUUAAUUUCUGUGGAGCUCAAAUAGACAACAAAGCUUUGUGGAACUGGUUAAGUGUUAGCAUAAAUAUCUAGCCUUUAUCAUGUUGAGCCUCCUCAAUAAAUAUUACUCAUUUAGCAGGAUCAUGCACUUAUUAUUUAUAUUUUUAUUGUAAGAUAAAAACUUAUUUAUUUUAUUUUUAUGCCACCACAGUGAAUGUACUUAUGGGUUUUAUGCCAUGAGCAUACUCACAUGGGGCUUACUAUUUUUUUAACAUUUUUAUUUUCUUUUCAAGAUAGCAUGAACCUCAUUAACUAAGCAAACUAUUGAAAGGAAAAGGAUAACUACCAAGUUUACCUCUUGGCAAGGCGUUCAGUGUUUUUAAGUCCUCCGAACGGGACUCUCCGUUUUCUCAGUCGUCCUGGGAUUCACUGGAUGGCGUAGUCAGCGGUUCCGGCGGCGCCUCCUCUUCGUGUGUAACUAUCUUCUCUCUCCACACCUGAAUCGGUGCUACGGUCUCCUCAGGACAGUUCUGUUCAAGCUAUAUGUCUUCAGACCUAUCACUUCUCCUUCGUAGUCUAUCCAUCCGUCCUUGAUGAUUCGCCUCCUCUGGUUGCGGUUGCGUUGUCUUCUUCUUGUCCUGACCUGCUUAGAGUCUUCAACUAUAUAGUUAAGGUCAGUAAAAUAGCUGCGUAUCUUCUCAGAGGGGAAGUGCAUGUGGACUUCUCCGGUUCCAAUAUAGAUGAUGGCUUUAUUAGUGUUGAGGAACGGUCUUCCAAGGAUGGUGGGUGGAUCAUACUCGUCUUCUCCCAUGUCAAUGUUCUAAAAAUCAUCUGGAGCUGAAUAUAUAUUGGUUGUAGGGGCAUGGUUCUAUGCAGGAGCUGAUAAGUGACUGCGGCCAUUAUGUUGACGUCAGAUCCGGUGUCGUAGAGUGUCUUCUAAAAAGAGUAUCUGUUGAUUGUGCACUCGAUGCUUGGAACACCAGGGUCGUCCUUCUUGAUCAAGAAAGGUGACUUGAGUCGACGAUCUUGACUUCCUUGAGUUGCAGUGACCAUCUUAGUUGACUCGGUCCACAUUUGCUUGUUCCUGUUCCUCCUGUUGGUCCUCUUCCUUGGUUCAUGUCGGGAUUGCUCUGAAGUUUGUGUAGUCUUGUUCUUGAAGAAAAGUCUCCUUCUUCCCCUUGAUGUAGGAACUGAUCUUGGCAGCAUUAGCGUAGAUGACAGCUCUGGUGUUUAGGAAUGGCCUCCCUAGGAUGAUGGGUGCCCUCUCCUCAGUACCAGUCUCUAUCACCACGAAGUUGCUGGAGCGUACAAGGUACCAACUCGGACACAGAGGUUCUUCAAUAUUUCCUUUGGGAAACUAAGUGUCUGAUCUCCAUUGUGUUUGUGCUCGUAGAUCUAGGUCCUUCACUUGGUGGAAUCUGGGAGUUGUAAAACUCCUCCAUGUUUUGCUUGAAGUGUACCUGUUCAUAGAGACAAGGCAGAGAUCAAGUGCAUAGGCCCUGUUGGUGGAAAACACCAACAGAACCAAAAGUGUAUUUGUUCUUCUCUAACCUUAAGCAUAGUGAGCAAGACAAAGUUGAUGGAUCAUGAGUGUAGCAUUUAAAACAUUUGUUAGAUCAGAUGGCUCAACCUAAUGGAAAGAUAAUCUAUCUAUAUUUAUGUUUUGUUUAUAUCUUCCAAAGGUUGAAUGCGCCGCAUUUUAUCUUAUAUGAUUAGGAGUGUGGGAUCACGAAGGUAGUACUAAGAACAAAGAUUAAAGGACUAAACAUGGUGAAUUAAUUAGGUUGGUUAAUCUGGAUUUAUAAAUCAUACAUGUUUGUCUCUUUAUUUUUUGUGAAUGCUAGGACCAAGGAGAAAUUUAUAAAAGUGAUAGUCAAGUACCUUAAGAUGUUACCUUACUUGAAGAGUGACGGUACAGUAUCACCUUGUGGAAGCUUUCCUUUUCUUCGCGGUUGUGCAUCGUGUUUGUGGCACUCUUCAUGGAUCAUCUCUUAUGAGCUACGUCUUUCUUGUGCAAAUUGUUAAACUUCAUGUGUCACUUUCUUCAUCUCCAAUGAGUUUGUAUCUCAGGACUUCCCAGGUUGAUAUUGAAAGUUUUCCUGCAGGGGUUAGUCCGACAAAAUAUACCAAUAUGUACUCAAGCAGUUUUUAGUUCAGUAACCAAACUAGACUCCAUGUCUAAUCAAAUUAAGGAAGGCUAUUUAACCUAAGCACCACGCUUAAUUUAAAAAUCCUUUGGAAGUAAGAUCAUCAUUCCUAAACUAAGCACCAUGCUUAAUUAAGAGAUAAAUGAAACUACUCCAAACUUAGACAUAUACUAAAGCAAAUAAAGGUAGCAUGAGAGCAUUUAUAGAGAUCUACUUAAGUGGAGAUGAAGUAGUGUGAUUAGUAUUUAACAAAUUGAGCAUGUCUCAAAGGUAGGGGCAACCAACAUAGCAACAUGGCAAAUGAUGUUUUUAUGUAAAGUACUCCCCCAAGCUUGAAUUUUGCAAAAUUCAAGAUUGGAUGAAUUUAAUUCAAUGUUGCAUGAUGAUUGGCUGGGCAUAUCUUGCGCUUGUCAUUCCUCGGAUCUUCUUGCUCCGAUCCUGGAAAGGUUAGUGGCAAGAAUACCCGAAGGAAUAUUUCUACAAUUAUCUCAAUAUGCUCAAUACACAAGGCAAUGUUGCAAAUAAUUAGAAGUUCAUGUUACGAUCUGAUAAGUGCUUGUUUAAGGACGCUAAGCUUAUCCUUGGGAAACCAUCAAGUUAUGUUGGUGAAGUGGUUUCCCCUCCAACACCUACCUAUAUCAAGAUUAACUCUACGAGAUCUGCAAUAUUUAUUAUAGACAUAUGCAUCGACAACCGCUCUUUUAAAGUUGUUAUAAAUAGAAAAGAAGAGGGGGUUGGAGAUCACAAAUGUGAUAAGGAUGAAGACACCAACUGAUUGGAGAGAUGUUUUAUAUGAGCAAGGACUGGGUGAGGUAUUUAUGAAAUAACUUCCAUGCUCACUAUUGUUUCUCUCAUUCUCAAACUCCAAGGAUGAUUCUUCAUGAAUGCUUAAAAUUCCUCUAGGAUUGUCUCUCAAGUUUGUUUUAUCUAUCCAUUCAAUGGUGAUAGCACAUAGAUUUUUAAUGCCCUCUAGCCAUUGAUGUUGCUCUUCUCGAUCCUCCUUCUUAUGCAUGGGAUGUCUAGAGAGAUUCAUAGGAUUAUCGGGAGGUUCAAGAGAAAGAGCAUAGUAGAAUUUAUUAAGCUCAAGGAUGGGUUGGAUAGCCGAAUCAUGGGAUUGAAAUGUUUGGAAAUCGGCUAUUGAACCUUCCUCUCCUUGUAUGGGAGAUGAUUCCUUCUCUAUCUCUAAGAUUUUUCUAUGAAGACUAGUACAAGAAGGAUGUCCACGAAUGAAGACAUACCUUCCUUUACUAAUAGAUAAAGAAAGAAAGACUCUACCAAAAAUUAUAUGAUUAAGACCAAUGUGAAAAUAUCUAGGAAAAACAUGGUCUUGUAGGGCUAGGUCUAAACCAGAAUUUAUAGAAAGAUUAACACAUUCCCUAGGUGUAGCUAAAACUGCAUUAUCUUUUUGAUUAAAAGAUAGGACCUCGGCUAUAGAAAAGGGUUGGUUUUGACCUAUUGCAAUCAACUCCGGACACAGAUCAUAAUUAGGGGCAGGACGUGUUGACUCCCAUGGUCUAUGGCUGGUCUCCGAAGGUGCAAAGAAUUCAAUAAUAGGUAUGGAAUUUAAGUUAUCCAUAAAGAUAAAAAGAUAAAAGAAUAAAAGUAUAAAAGUAUAAUACAAGAUAAUAGCAAGACUCAAAGUUAUCUCAGCAAACCGUCUUUCUCCUCGGCAACGGCGCCAGAAAUGCUUGUUGAUAUUUGGUAACGCAAUAAGAAAAUGAUCCGCAAGCGCACGGAUAUCGGUGAGCAUUUCACCCGGGAGGUUAUCCAAAGUUAUCGUAUUUAUAUUUUUACCACUAGGAGAAAGGGUGCAUCUGACUAACCAAAUCUAUUGCUACUACCCCUUUAGGCUACAAAGAAUGUUUCUCGAUGUGAGUGAUGUAUAGAGAAGACUGCAACCGUAGUCUCGUUCUAACCUUGGUAAGGAUGAUCUACUGUUCUAUUGGGGAGGCUCACGGAAUCUAGACACCACAAAGGAUGUUCGACCCGCACCUAUAAACCCUACCCGUCCUGCUAACAAGAUAUGGGAUACAAAGGUAACUCGGAAAUGUCACGUUCCUCGCUACUACCACGGUCCAGCUAGUCAGGGGAUAUCUAUGAGUACCCUAGCCUAAACACCACGUUUACGCUAGCAAUGAUUACUCUAAUACUCAACCGGAAGAGGAUUAAAGUAAACUCAUAAACCAAAGAACAAUAAAACAAGAACUUACUAGAAUUAGAAGUCGAAUUACUGAAGAAUCUUAGAAGCAAGCCUCGGGUUAGGAGACUUGAUCCCGUAGGUACAACUCGGAGUAGACACCGACAGGCCGGCCUUCCUCCAAUCUACACCUCCACUCUAUAUCUCUCAAUCUAGUAGAAACUAGAAGAUCUAUUUCUACCUUACAUUGGUUGCUAAGCCUAAAAAGAAAUAUUAUUUAGAGAAGAGGUUUUCCUUCGAGGGCACCCCUCAAUCUCUAUGAUAACUUCUUGUCUCCUCCAGGGGCCAGGGGGGUCUCCUUAUAUAGUCCUCCCCUUCUAUGCGUUUUUGGGUCGGUAGGCGAUGUGGUACUACGUUAUUCUGGAUCCAAUAGGUCGGUGGAGAUCUCCCGAGAAAAAGAGUCCUGAUUGGGCUCGGCAGGUGGGCGGGCGCCCAGGUCCUGGCCCCAUUUCGCCUCCGCUUCGGUCUCGUGGCUUCUGGAGUCUUCU